RNAcentral lists this ribosomal RNA (47 nucleotides) under Pochonia chlamydosporia. Its description in RNAcentral is "partial 28S ribosomal RNA". Lineage: Eukaryota; Fungi; Ascomycota; Sordariomycetes; Hypocreales; Clavicipitaceae. RNAcentral also lists the same sequence under 1 other name. The record is from RNAcentral.
GUUGACCUCGAAUCAGGUAGGAAUACCCGCUGAACUUAAGCAUAUCA